Non-coding RNA from Immersiella caudata, 90 nucleotides. The record is from the annotation of a GenBank genome assembly. Lineage: Eukaryota; Fungi; Ascomycota; Sordariomycetes; Sordariales; Lasiosphaeriaceae.
CUCCUUGUGGUGUAGUUGGCUAUCACGUUCGGCUGUAAAUGUUACAUUCAUAUACCGAAAGGUCACCGGCUCGAUUCUCUCUCGAAGAGA